This 1023-nucleotide ribosomal RNA is filed under the name Triticum aestivum (bread wheat). RNAcentral's name for it is "partial small subunit ribosomal RNA". Lineage: Eukaryota; Viridiplantae; Streptophyta; Magnoliopsida; Poales; Poaceae. The record is from RNAcentral.
AUGGCGCGGCAGCGUACGCGCUCUGCCUCCGCGCUCGCGCUCGCCGUGGCGUUGGUCGUCGGAGUCUUGGCGUCCAUCCCUAUCGAGGUGGCAUCCAUCGGCGUGUGCAACGGGAUGAUAGGCGACAGCCAGUCCCUGCCGUCGCGGGCCGACGUGGUGCAGCUGUACAGGACCAAGGGCAUCAGCGCCAUGCGCAUCUACGCCCCGGACCCCGAGACGCUCCAGGCCCUCGGCGACACCGGCAUCGACCUCAUCAUGGACGUCGGCAACGGCAACCUUUCCGCCCUCGCCUCCGACCCCGGCUUGGCGGCGUCCUGGGUCCAGGAAAACGUGCUGGCCUACCCGCGGGUCAGCAUCAAGUAUAUCGCGGCCGGCAACGAGGUGGAAGGCGGCGACACGCAGAACAUCGUCCCGGCCAUGACGAACCUCAACGCCGCGCUCUCCAAGGCCAGCCGCCCUGACGUGAAGGUGUCCACGGCUGUCAAGAUGAGCGUGCUCGCGUCCUCCUCGCCUCCCUCCAGCGGCGUGUUCAAAGACGCGUACAUGACGGAGGUGGCCCAGCUGCUCAAGGACACCAGCGCGCCGCUGCUCGCCAACGUGUACCCCUACAUCGCCAAAAGGGACACCCCGACCAUCGACCUCAGCUUCGCGCUCUUCCAGCCGAGCCCCAACCCGGUGAACGACAACGGCCUCACCUACACCAACCUCUUCGACGCCAUGGUCGACGCGAUGUACACGGCCAUGGAGCAGGCGGGCGCGUCGGCCGUGCCCAUCGUGGUCUCGGAGAGCGGGUGGCCGUCGGCCGGCGACGACCUGGCAACCCCCACUAACGCGCAGGCGUACAACCAGAACCUGAUCGACCACGUCGGCAAAGGUACGCCCAAGAGGGCCGGGCCCCUGGAGACGUACAUCUUCGCCAUGUUCAACGAGAACCGAAAGGACGGGCCCGAGACAGAGAGGAACUUUGGACUGUUCAACGGACCCGACAAGACGCCGGUGUACCCUAUAAACUUCACCAAUUAG